Molecule: non-coding RNA, 407 nt
Filed under: Stutzerimonas nitrititolerans
Lineage: Bacteria; Pseudomonadati; Pseudomonadota; Gammaproteobacteria; Pseudomonadales; Pseudomonadaceae
Description: rne-II RNA
Rfam family: rne-II RNA
Source: RNAcentral
GAGUGUUGGGUGGAGAUGCACAGUCAUCGGAAUGCGUAGCAAAGGCUUUCACAGACGCUUCAUUCCGUCCGCUACCGAUGGCUGAUUCCUCCUCCCAAGGGUUUUUUGUACGAAAGGCCAGCCCAAACGAAGGUUAGGCAAGGCGAAAGCCGGCGAGUAGGCGCAACGGCUUGUAACGAGCAGUCCAGGCCGGUUUCUACGCGCAUUUCCGGUGCGCAGGCGCUUUCGUGCAUUACCCCAGUAGUGCUUCUGUUCCGACAGCAAGCAGGAGAUGUCGUCGCGACGCCGGCCGAACUGGCCUCACAUCGCUGGACACUGGAGUGCCUUACAACCAUUCCUGACUCACCUGACACCGACUGCGAGAGUCGUGUGUGCCGAACGCCGUUUCCCGAUGCCAUGGAAACCGA